GUGAAGGUUCCGAUGGAUAAAGGGAAGCGAGUUCUUUUCCUGACCAAUGACUACUUCUUCACGGACAUCAGCGACACUCCUUUCAGUUUGGGGGUGGUGCUGUCCCGGGGCCACGGAGAAUACAUCCUUCUGGGGAACACGUCUGUGGAAGAAGGCCUUCACGACUUGCUUCACCCAGACCUGGCCCUGGCCAGUGACUGGUAAGUGAGGAGUAAAAAAUGGGAGGGAGACAGGUGGAAUUUUUUGAGAUAACACUGACUUUCCUGGGUUUCAGGAUCUACUGCAUCACAGAUAUUGACCCAGACCACCGGAAGCUCAGCCAGCUAGAGGCCAUGAUCCGCUUCCUCACCAGGAAGGACCCAGACCUGGAGUAGAGUCUGAGCAGGUGGUGGACAUGGCCUUCCUGGGCACCCGGGCUGGCCUCCUGAGAAGCAGCUUGUUCGUGGGCUCCGAGAAGGUCUCCGACAGGAAGUUCCUGACGCCUGAAGACGAGGCCAGCGUGUUCACCCUGGACCGCUUCCCGCUGUGGUACCGCCAGGCCUCAGAGCAUCCUGCUGGCAGCUUCGUCUUCAA
This 573-nucleotide small RNA is filed under the name Pongo abelii (Sumatran orangutan). Its description in RNAcentral is "processed transcript". Lineage: Eukaryota; Metazoa; Chordata; Mammalia; Primates; Hominidae. The record is from RNAcentral.